AUAGUCACAGUGUCCAUAAAAUUUUUUACAUUCUUUCCAGGAGAUUCAUCUGUCUUCUACCAAGAUCUAAGAAAAAUUUCUCUGGAUGUUGCAUGGAAAAGGUUCACAGAGGAGGGGCAGUGGACAUUGUGGUACCUAUGGAGUUUUAUAUUUGUGGCUGUUGGACCCCGACUGCCCAAAUCCUGUGAGAGGUCAUGGAGACCGGAAGUGGCAUGUUCAGUGGGCAGCUCCUAUGCUUGAUGUCGGAGGAGUUCUAUUUGGUCAUUCUCCAAACUGCUUGAUUGGUUUUUGUAACUUCUGUCCCCUGAAGGUACGUACAAGUAUGUCUUUUAUUUUUCUAAAUAUAUUAAGCAUAACUAUGCUAUCUAGUAUCUAAUAAUUUCAAUAUCUGGAGAGUUUGAUUGUCUAUUCCUGUAAUCUGUUAUGUCUGCUAGUUUUUGCUCCUGGUGCUUUGCUUCAUGGUGUGCAUAUAGUAGUGUUUUUUUGCUCUGAAAUGCUUAUUUUCAUUUUGAAAUUGUAGUAAUUCUCUGAGUUUAGGAUGGAAGUACAUUCCUCCAAAAACAAUAUGUGUAAAAUAUAUGUACAGCAAUCAAUCGUCUUUAUACAAAAAGAGAGAGAGAGAGAGAGAAGAUAGGGCCAUCAGAAGAUAAGGCCAGUAGAUUCUAACAGGAGAAAAGUUAACAUUUACAAUAGUAACGACCAAGAAAAAGAAAACCAUUGAGAAAUAAACUUGAUAAGAACCACACAGGCUCUAUAGGCAGAAAAUAUUGGAAUAGUUUUGAGAAAAAAUAAAAGAAUUAAACAACAAGAAAAGAAC
This is a long non-coding RNA of Mustela putorius furo (domestic ferret), 817 nucleotides long. Lineage: Eukaryota; Metazoa; Chordata; Mammalia; Carnivora; Mustelidae. The record is from Ensembl.